This is a small nuclear RNA of Callithrix jacchus (white-tufted-ear marmoset), 104 nucleotides long. NCBI's taxonomy places the organism in Eukaryota, Metazoa, Chordata, Mammalia, Primates, Cebidae. The record is from Ensembl.
GUGCUUGCCUUAGCAGCACAUACUAAAAACUGGAAUGAUACAGAGAAGAUUAGUAUGGCCCCUGCGCAAGAUGACAUGCAGUUUGUGAAGCAUUCUGUUUUUGU